GGGGGCGUAAAGGUUUCGACGGGGAUUUUGAACCAUGAUAAGCGAGUAGAGUUUGCUGGACACUCUUAAAACGCCGGUACUUUUAAAUUAAACGCUAACAAUAAUAAAUUAGCUUUAGCAGCUUAAUUUAAGCUGCUCGUCCGGCUAAGCAGUACCACGGGCUUAGUUUGGGCGUCAUUUAGUGGUGAACGUGCUGCGGGAGUUUCCCGGCCCGGAGCAUGUAUUAGGGAAUACUGAGGCGCACAGCCUGCUUUUCGGCGGUGCGCGGAGGGAAUGUAAAAAGAGAAGCUGCACUCGGAGAAGUUCAUGGGAAUAGGUUUUCGGACAGGGGUUCAAUUCCCCUCGCCUCCACCA
This 354-nucleotide transfer-messenger RNA is filed under the name Acetanaerobacterium elongatum. RNAcentral describes it as "Standard tmRNA". It matches the Rfam family "transfer-messenger RNA". Rfam says of the family: Bacterial tmRNA, also known as 10Sa RNA or SsrA, is named for its dual tRNA and mRNA-like properties. Its role is to liberate the mRNA from a stalled ribosome. Lineage: Bacteria; Bacillati; Bacillota; Clostridia; Eubacteriales; Oscillospiraceae. The record is from Rfam by way of RNAcentral.